GACAGACAAUGGGCAUAAGAGAAAAUCCUAGCUCUGUAUCGAUUGGUGCAGUCCACCUAACUUGGUCAACAUCACUUCUUCAACUAUAAAGCAGGAAUGAAAAUAGCUCCUUUAAAGCUGUUGUGAGGAUUAGAGGCAAGGCAUGUAAAGGUUUGGAAUGUGGUGGAUGCUCAGUAAACAACGGAUGUCAUUCAGUUGACUCAUGCUUUUCAUUUCCCUGGGUCUUUUUAAAGCUUUAAAAUUCCAUUUUCCAUAAAAGUGGUAUUGAUCGGAGUUAGACCCACUUGCAGUAAGUAAAUAUGGAUGAACUGUGCUGCAGAUAUUCAAAUAAAAAGGCAGAAAGUGUUCAGUAGAGUGCUAACAAAGGAGAGGUUGCUGCCAAG
RNAcentral lists this long non-coding RNA (383 nucleotides) under Marmota monax (woodchuck). Lineage: Eukaryota; Metazoa; Chordata; Mammalia; Rodentia; Sciuridae. The record is from RNAcentral.